Long non-coding RNA from Mauremys mutica (yellowpond turtle), 937 nucleotides. RefSeq lists it as uncharacterized. The transcript is spliced from 4 exons. The record is from RefSeq and is a predicted model, not a curated record. Lineage: Eukaryota; Metazoa; Chordata; Testudines; Geoemydidae.
AGCAAAGAGAUUCUCCACAAAGAAAGAGGAAUUGACACUCAAAGUGGCAAAUUAAAGAGAAGGAGAUGAGCAUGAACUAGAAGAAAUAAAAGGAGACAAGAUGUUGGGCCAAUUCCUUCAAAUAUACUUACAAAAAAUAUUACUUCCAGCAAAAUACAGUUUGCUCUCUAAAAGCUAAUUUGAAACUAAGAUGUCUCCCACAAGUCCAGUGAUGACUUGGUCUAGUGCCAUCAGUGUCUUCCGGAGAUGAUUCAUGGAGUACUUACCAGCAACACUCCAAAAUGGGGGUGGAAUGAGAACAUGACCUGGCUGAGUCGUGAGAAGAGGUGGAACACAACAGGUGCUAAAGAUGGAGAUUCUGCUGUGCCAAGAGGGGGCAUGCCUGUGAAAUAUGGACUAGAUCCUCAGUAUGUGUUGACUUCAAUAAUUAAGCCAAAUUACACUAGUUGAGGAUUGGUGUCUGAUUGCAGGUAGGUUUGCUCAUGUCUCUUCACUCCAUCAUCCAAAAUCUAUAAGCUGAAGCUUUCAUCUCACCGUGAGAUCAAUGCCUUUCUUAUAUGAGGUAACACCAAAGGCUGCUCCUUGGAAACCACUGGGAUCUGGACGUAUCACAGCCAAAGCCAGUACAGCCAAUACUACUGAUUCAUUUCUCCCAGUAAACGGCAUCUUGAAACCUAUCUCUUCAGUUGUCCUUAAGAUUCUUUAUAAAGUAUAACAACAAGAAAAAGAGACAUCUUGAAAUUUUCUAUUACCAUGACAUUUCUGAUUAUCACAAGUAUUGACUAAACUCUCUGUCCCCUUGCUGACUGUGUGGCAGGCAUGAACAUUCAAUGGAAAAGACCAAAACAUGCAGUUUCCAUUCAAGAAAAAUGCCCACUGAAAUCAGUGGUAGCUUUGUCUGAGUAAGGAUUGUAGGCUCAGACCUACAAUCAACAGC